Molecule: long non-coding RNA, 109 nt
Organism: Thalassophryne amazonica
Lineage: Eukaryota; Metazoa; Chordata; Actinopteri; Batrachoidiformes; Batrachoididae
Exons: 3
Source: RefSeq, a predicted model, not a curated record
CAUUUUGCUUUUCUGCGGGAUUCAUUCACAUUGAUCAAAAGUUUGAAAAUUCUGACAAAGCGGCAGCUACAGGAACAAAGCUGGAUGAUGGUUAAACGAUGUCUCCGAA